AGCGAACGCUGGCGGCAGGCCUAAUACAUGCAAGUCGAACGGUCUCUUCGGAGGCAGUGGCGGACGGGUGAGUAACGCGUGGGAACGUGCCCUUUGGUACGGAACAACUGAGGGAAACUUCAGCUAAUACCGUAUGUGCCCUUCGGGGGAAAGAUUUAUCGCCAUUGGAGCGGCCCGCGUUGGAUUAGCUAGUUGGUGGGGUAAUGGCCCACCAAGGCGACGAUCCAUAGCUGGUCUGAGAGGAUGAUCAGCCACACUGGGACUGAGACACGGGCCCAGACUCCUACGGGAGGCAGCAGUAGGGAAUCUUGCGCAAUGGGCGAAAGCCUGACGCAGCCAUGCCGCGUGAAUGAUGAAGGUCUUAGGAUGUAAAAUUCUUUCACCGGGGACGAUAAUGACGGUACCCGGAGAAGAAGCCCCGGCUAACUUCGUGCCAGCAGCCGCGGUAAU
This 450-nucleotide ribosomal RNA is filed under the name uncultured bacterium. RNAcentral's name for it is "bacterial SSU rRNA". It matches the Rfam family "Bacterial small subunit ribosomal RNA", at positions 29 to 524 of the family's 1533-position model. The record is from RNAcentral.